CAACACGGAGCUGAAAAGAUGUAGGAUGUGCCACACAGUUAGACUGAUACCCAACCUGCUGCCCGGGUGAAAUCCCUGUAGCUCUUGUAUUCUCAGUCCCCUUGGGAAAACUUCACGCAUGAGGCACACGUAGGGCCUGUGCAAAAGCUCAAACCCCCAGGAAUGGAUUAGGAUAGGAGCCUUGCUGGACCACCAUCUGCCAAAACACACUUCAGAAAGGUGGUGGGGCUUAGAGGGGUUUUCCCCUGGAGAAAAUGGAAAAUAGUCUUGUGCAGGGCUGUGCAUCAAUGCUUGUUUUUGCUUCCAUGGUGGGAUUUCAUUAAAUGCAUUGCAUUUCUUCAUCUCUCUGUUUCCUUUAAGGAAGUGCUCUAAAAGGAACCAUCGGCACUGGGACUGACCAAAACUGGGGUGUGAAACUAAAGCCUGGACAACUUAAGAGAGACAGCGUGGACAGUGCAGCAGGAGAUGGACUCUGGUGGCUCUGCAGUCUCUACUUUUCCAAAGGAAAAGUGUCUGACAGGAGGAAACAUCUGGGGUAAGGAGCCACUUAGCAUGCUUGGGAUCCCACCACGCUUUGGUCCUUUUUCCUGGCAGGCUGCCGCCCUCCUCCUGCCCUUGGUGCACCCACAGGCCUUUAAAUUUCACGAAAGCUCUUUGGUUCUG
Molecule: non-coding RNA, 663 nt
Organism: Taeniopygia guttata (zebra finch)
Lineage: Eukaryota; Metazoa; Chordata; Aves; Passeriformes; Estrildidae
Source: RefSeq, a predicted model, not a curated record